RNAcentral lists this ribosomal RNA (847 nucleotides) under uncultured archaeon. Its description in RNAcentral is "bacterial SSU rRNA". It matches the Rfam family "Archaeal small subunit ribosomal RNA", at positions 29 to 882 of the family's 1478-position model. The record is from RNAcentral.
GCUAUCGGAUUGAUACUAAGCCAUGCGAGUCAUUGUAGCAAUACAAGGCAUACGGCUCAGUAACGCGUAGUCAACCUAACCUAUGGACGGGAAUAACCUCGGGAAACUGAGAAUAAUGCCCGAUAGAACAUUAUGCCUGGAAUGGUUUAUGUUCCAAAUGAUUUAUCGCCGUAGGAUGGGACUGCGGCCUAUCAGUUUGUUGGUGAGGUAAUGGCCCACCAAGACUAUUACAGGCACGGGCUCUGAGAGGAGUAGCCCGGAGAUGGGUACUGAGACACGGACCCAGGCCCUAUGGGGCGCAGCAGGCGAGAAAACUUUGCAAUGUGCGAAAGCACGACAAGGUUAAUCCGAGUGGUUUCUGCUAAAGGAACCUUUUGUCAGUCCUAGAAACACUGAUGAAUAAGGGGUGGGCAAGUUCUGGUGUCAGCCGCCGCGGUAAAACCAGCACCUCAAGUGGUCAGGAUGAUUAUUGGGCCUAAAGCAUCCGUAGCCGGCUCUGUAAGUUUUCGGUUAAAUCUGUACGCUCAACGUACAGGCUGCCGGGAAUACUGCAAAGCUAGGGAGUGGGAGAGGUAGACGGUACUCGGUAGGAAGGGGUAAAAUCCUUUGAUCUAUUGAUGACCACCUGUGGCGAAGGCGGUCUACCAGAACACGUCCGACGGUGAGGGAUGAAAGCUAGGGGAGCAAACCGGAUUAGAUACCCGGGUAGUCCCAGCUGUAAACCAUGCAAACUCAGUGAUGCAUUGGCUUGUGGCCAAUGCAGUGCUGCAGGGAAGCCGUUAAGUUUGCCGCCUGGGAAGUACGUACGCAAGUAUGAAACUUAAAGGAAUUGGCGGGGGAGCACCAC